AAACCAGCACCUCAAGUGGUCAGGAGGAUUAUUGGGCCUAAAGCAUCCGUAGCCUGUUCUGUAAGUUUUCGGUUAAAUCCAUUAGCUCAACUAAUGGGCCGCCGAAAAUACUGUAGAACUAGGGAGUGGGAGAGGUAGACGGUAUUCGGUAGGAAGGGGUAAAAUCCUUUGAUCUAUUGAGGACCACCUGUGGCGAAGGCGGUCUACCAGAACACGUUCGACGGUGAGGGAUGAAAGCUGGGGGAGCAAACCGGAUUAGAAACCCUGGUAGUCC
Molecule: ribosomal RNA, 274 nt
Filed under: uncultured bacterium
Lineage: Bacteria
Description: partial 16S ribosomal RNA
Rfam family: Archaeal small subunit ribosomal RNA
Source: RNAcentral